This 305-nucleotide ribosomal RNA is filed under the name uncultured bacterium. RNAcentral describes it as "bacterial SSU rRNA". It matches the Rfam family "Bacterial small subunit ribosomal RNA", at positions 337 to 660 of the family's 1533-position model. The record is from RNAcentral.
UCCUACGGGAGGCAGCAGUGGGGAAUAUUGCACAAUGGGGGAAACCCUGAUGCAGCGACGCCGCGUGAGUGAGGAAGUAUUUCGGUAUGUAAAGCUCUAUCAGCAGGGAAGAAAAUGACGGUACCUGACUAAGAAGCCCCGGCUAACUACGUGCCAGCAGCCGCGGUAAUACGUAGGGGGCAAGCGUUAUCCGGAUUUAUUGGGUUUAAAGGGUGCGUAGGCGGAAGGUUAAGUCUGGAGUGAAAGGUACCGGCUCAACCGGUACAGGCUCUGGAAACUGGCGGGCUAGAGAGCAGGAGAGGGCG